CAGGAUGAACGCUAGCUACAGGCUAACACAUGCAAGUCGAGGGGCAGCAGGAUCUUAGCUUGCUAAGAUUGCUGGCGACCGGCGCACGGGUGAGUAACGCGUAUCCAACCUCCCCUUAGUAGGGCAUAGCCCGAUGAAAAUCGGAUUAAUACCCUAUGUUCUCGUAGAUGACAUCUGACAUGAAGCAAAGAUUUAUCGCUAAGGGAUGGGGAUGCGUCCGAUUAGGUAGUCGGCGGGGUAACGGCCCACCGAGCCAUCGAUCGGUAGGGGUUCUGAGAGGAAGGUCCCCCACAUUGGAACUGAGACACGGUCCAAACUCCUACGGGAGGCAGCAGUGAGGAAUAUUGGUCAAUGGGCGAGAGCCUGAACCAGCCAAGUAGCGUGCAAGGAUGACGGCCCUAUGGGUUGUAAACUGCUUUUAUGCGGGGAUAAAGUGCGCCACGUGUGGCGUUUUGUAGGUACCGCAUGAAUAAGGACCGGCUAAUUCCGUGCCAGCAGCAGC
This 502-nucleotide ribosomal RNA is filed under the name uncultured bacterium. RNAcentral's name for it is "bacterial SSU rRNA". It matches the Rfam family "Bacterial small subunit ribosomal RNA", at positions 25 to 518 of the family's 1533-position model. The record is from RNAcentral.